This 744-nucleotide ribosomal RNA is filed under the name uncultured marine bacterium. RNAcentral's name for it is "bacterial SSU rRNA". It matches the Rfam family "Bacterial small subunit ribosomal RNA", at positions 574 to 1324 of the family's 1533-position model. The record is from RNAcentral.
GGCGGCCAGAUAAGUCAGUGGUGAAAUUCCGUGGCUCAACCACGGAACUGCCAUUGAUACUGUUUGGCUUGAAUCAGUUCGAGGAUGCUGGAAUGUGUGGUGUAGCGGUGAAAUGCAUAGAUAUCACACAGAACACCAAUUGCGAAGGCAGGUGUCCAGAACUGUAUUGACGCUGAUGGACGAAAGCGUGGGUAGCGAACAGGAUUAGAUACCCUGGUAGUCCACGCCGUAAACGAUGGUCACUAGCUGUCCGGACUUAGGUCUGGGUGGCCAAGCGAAAGUGAUAAGUGACCCACCUGGGGAGUACGUUCGCAAGAAUGAAACUCAAAGGAAUUGACGGGGGCCCGCACAAGCGGUGGAGCAUGUGGUUUAAUUCGAUGAUACGCGAGGAACCUUACCAGGGCUUAAAUGCAUUAUGACAGGGGUGGAGACACCCUUUUCUUCGGACAUUUUGCAAGGUGCUGCAUGGUUGUCGUCAGCUCGUGCCGUGAGGUGUCAGGUUAAGUCCUAUAACGAGCGCAACCCCUGUUGUUAGUUGCCAGCGAGUAAUGUCGGGAACUCUAGCAAGACUGCCGGUGCAAACCGCGAGGAAGGUGGGGAUGACGUCAAAUCAUCACGGCCCUUACGCCCUGGGCCACACACGUGCUACAAUGGCAGGUACAGCAAGCAGCCACUGGGCGACCAGGAGCGAAUCUGUAAAGCCUGUCACAGUUCGGAUCGGAGUCUGCAACUCGACUCCGUGAA